CUUGCGGAAAGGUUUUUUUCUUUCUUUUUUAAUUCAUUUGAUGCUGUUGGGAAGUGAAACUACACCACGGGGUGGGAGGAUAAAUGACACCCACCACCAAGCGACAUGUACUUUCUGUGUCGUCUCCUCCUCGCACAACACAGACACAACUAUAAACCUGCAGAAAAAGUUUCCUCCAGAAUGUCAGACACAGCAGAGCCCCUCCCAUCCAGAGAGACAUGGGAUGCUCCUCGUUAUGAGGUGUCACCACCACCAUCACCACCAUGCUCCUACGAAGGACAGCAACCUCCACCCUACUCUGCAGCCCCAGAACUGUGCCCUCCACCCAAAGUCGAGAAAACGUGCAUCUAUCAACCUGCAACUGGUUACGAGUCUUUCCGGGACAUCUGCCCAGAAGCCUCGUCGGACACAACUCCACUGAUGGCCUCGUCCUCCUUUGAUGACAAGACAGUGAGACGAGCGUUUGUUAGAAAGGUGUUUAGCAUCCUGACUCUCCAGCUGCUGUUCACCUUCAGUGUGGUGUGUGUGUUCACCUUCUCCAGCGUGAUCAAAGAGGCGGUGCAGACCAACCUGGGGGCCUACAUCAGCUCCAUCGUCAUCUUCAUCGUGGUCGCCGUGGCCCUCAGCUGCUGCAAGUCCUUCAGUCGACGUCACCCCUGGAACAUCGUGGCAUUGGUUGUGGUCACCCUGAGCUUGUCAUACAUGGUGGGAACCAUCGCCUCCUUCCACGACACCACUGCGGUCGUCAUCACUAUGGGAGCGACGGUGGUCAUUUCUGUCGCAAUCAUUGCGUUCUCCGCACAGACUCGUUAUGAUUUCACUAUUUGGUACGGUGUUCUGCUGAUUCUGGUUGUGGACGUGCUCCUGUUUGGGUUCUUCUGCACCUUCUACUACUCCUACAUCAGUGAAGUCGCCUAUGGGUGUCUGGGUGCUCUGCUGUAUUCACUGUUCCUGAUGCUGGACUGUCAGCUGAUGAUGGGGAUGAUGAGCCACCGUCUGGAUCCAGAGGAAUACAUCAACGCUGCUCUCAUGAUCUACCUGGACAUAGUCCUCAUCUUCCUCUACCUGCUGGGGAGGAGAUGAAACUAAAACACAUUUACACACAAAUGGACUGACACUCCAAACUGUACAAAGAAAAAUGUCCUUAUUAUCUAUUGUUAUGACUCAGGGUAAAAAGCCUCCCCUUAAUGCUGUUCACCUUCCUGCCUUAGGGGCGUGCUAUGAUGUGUUUGGCCUUGCUCUGUGCCUUCUUUUCAUUGCAGGUGAUUGGACAGCGGUACUUAAGAGGGAACCUGUGGGUCCGGCUCUCUCUCCCCAGCUUCCAACCAGGGCCAUGCUGCACAGCACUGAUUCUUGGGUGGUGGGGUUAGAAAGGGUGUCGGUAGGGGUGAGAAGCCCUUUUGGUUUAACCCUGUUUUCGGGUAGGGAGAUAGCAUGCAGCCAUGGUCCAGUUGUUGUUUUUUCAAGGGACCAACUGUUGGCAUUCCGGGACGCGGCGGUGCUACUACCCGUGGAGAGACCCGAUGUUCCCCGUGAGUUGAGGAGGAAGAAACGUGGAUGCCGGGCGGGGGCGGAACGUCGCGCCAGGAGAAGACGUUACAAACCCGUCCUACCCUCCAUCAUCAUGGGAAACGUGAGGUCUCUCUCCAACAAGAUGGACGAGCUAGCGGCGCUAACUCGUGCGUGAAUACCGGCAGUGUAGCCUCAUGGUGUUCACGGAGACUUGGCUAACGGAGCUAAUUCCGGACACGCACGCUGUGAUGAUAGAUGGUGUAACUCUGGGCACAUCACUGUUAAAGAGCAGACCUGCACAACGGACAUUGAGCUGUUAGCUGUUAGCAUGAGGCCAUACUAUCUGCCAAGGGAAUUCUCGCAUGUUAUCAUGGUGGCUGCGUACAUCCCCCCCUCUGCUGACGCUGAAGCGGCCUGUGACGUCAUCCACUCAGCGACGAGCAGGCUGCUGACACAACACCCCAAUGCCCUCCUCCUUCUCUCUGGGGACUUUAACCAUGCCCCUCCGUCCUCCACUCUGCCCACAUUCACCCAGUACGUCACAUGCCACACCAGAGACAAUAAGACACUGGAUCUCCUCUAUGCCAACACCAAGGAGGCAUACUCAUCAUCACCUCUCCCUCCCCUGGGCCGAUCUGACCACAACCUGGUGCACCUCCUGCCUGUGUACACCACUCUUGCACAGAAGCAGCCAGCUGUGACCCGCACAGUUAGACAAUGGACCGAUGGAGCCGAGGAGGCUCUGAAAGACUGUUUUGAGACAACUGUGUGGGAGGUAUUCAGUGAUGCCCAUGGGGAAGACAUUGACGGUCUCACCGACUGCAUCACAGACUACAUCAACUUCUGUGUUGAGAACACCGUACCCACCAGGAUUGUACGGUGCUUCUCAAAUGGCAAACCCUGGAUCUCUCCAAAGAUAAAGGCCCUCCUCAAGGAGAAGAAGAGGGUCUUUAGAUCUGGCAACAAGGAGGCGCUGAGGACUGUGCAGAGGGAGCUGAGGGUGGAGAUCAGGGAGGGUGAAGAUGUCUACAGGACCAAGAUGGAGGACCAGCUGCAGCAGAACAACACCAUCGGGGUCUGGAAGGGCCUCAAGACGAUUUCUGGGUUCAAGGGGUUCAACAAACAGCCUGAGGGGGACCAUAAGUGGGUGAAUGAU
RNA transcript from Cyclopterus lumpus (lumpfish), 2668 nucleotides. It is a transcript of the gene named protein lifeguard 1, with no coding region annotated. The transcript is spliced from 8 exons. Lineage: Eukaryota; Metazoa; Chordata; Actinopteri; Perciformes; Cyclopteridae. The record is from RefSeq and is a predicted model, not a curated record.